UCCCACAUGGUCCCCUUUGUAAAGCCAGUCUGUCAGAGCUUGCCUUAGCACAAGAAAAUAACGCCAGGCAGUGGGACAGCGAUGGACGGCUGCUGCUCUCUUGACAUUGGACGUCAGGGGGGGACUCCAUGACGGACACAGGAAUGGUACCAAGGAAAAAGAAGUCAAGCCUCAGAGUCUACUGCCCUCAUGCGACGGACAGUGAGUGAGAGCAGCGAGCCUGUGACCGUUGGUGAUGCCAGGCAAGAGGCCUCCAUCUGGGAGCCGAGCAAUCGCCAGUCUCGGUGAAGACACGGGUAGGUGUGCAUUCCCACAGGUGAGGUCUCGGGAGCCAUGGAGAAGUCGGAGUGGACGAAAAUCAUGCAGGGCAGUAGAAAGGCUGCUGAAAGUACCUGAAGAGACAAAGGAAAUGAGAAGGGGGAAGUCCAGACUAAGAGAGGAGUCUAGUCUGUAAAGAGAAACAACGGGAAGUCUAAGCUACAGAAACUCUUCAAGUUGCCGAAAGACAUUUAGGAUGGGAAAUAACUUCUUGAAUCCAGUCUCUUUAAGAUCUUAGGCUUAGUAUGCGUGUGUAUUUGUAUUUGCUUAGUAAUCUGCCUUCUUCUUUUUGCUAUCCCUUAUAAUCACUGAAAAUCUACCUUUUAUAGUGAAACUAUUUUUUGUUUAUUAUUAUUAUUAUUAAACUCAGUUUGUGCAACUGGUGCUCCGUGAGGAAAUGCUUUGUGUGUUACUCCAAGGGGCUGCCCGGUGUCACUGUUGCUCCAUGAGGGAAAUGAUUUGAGCACUACCUGAAUUGGCCACGCAGUGUCACCAUUGCUCCGUGAGGAAAUGCUUUCUGCAUUACUCCAAGUGGCCACACGGUGUCACUGUUGGUCCAGGAGGGAAAUUAUUUGUGCAUUACCCUGAGUGGCCACCGAGUGUCACUGUUGCUCCGUGAGGGAAAUGGUUUGUGCAGUACCCUGAGGGGCCACCCGGGGUCACUGUUGCUCCAUGAGGAAAUGCUUUGUGCAUGACCUGAAUUGGCCAC
Chelonia mydas (Green sea turtle) is the source of this 1027-nucleotide long non-coding RNA. RefSeq lists it as uncharacterized. The transcript has 4 exons. The record is from RefSeq and is a predicted model, not a curated record. NCBI's taxonomy places the organism in Eukaryota, Metazoa, Chordata, Testudines, Cheloniidae.